Rosa rugosa (rugosa rose) is the source of this 1568-nucleotide long non-coding RNA. RefSeq lists it as uncharacterized. Lineage: Eukaryota; Viridiplantae; Streptophyta; Magnoliopsida; Rosales; Rosaceae. The record is from RefSeq and is a predicted model, not a curated record. The transcript is spliced from 3 exons.
CCGAUGACGUUUUGGAAAUGAUUUCGUGGUCGUGGACACGAGUACGAAGCUUAGAGGAGUGUGGAAUUAGUUCGAACGAUUUUAUUUUGAAAACUGAACGUUUUAGGGGGGUCAAAGGAGUUGACUUUUUAUACAUUGGGAAAUUGGGAAAACUUUCUUCAUGAAAGUUGUAGAGCGCGUCGAUACGAGUUCGUGGACAUAUGGAACGUAAUAUUCGGAGUUCGUAUGAAUAAGUUACGAAUAUUUGAAAAUUGGGAUUUUCUAUAAAUAUGAAAAAAAAAUCCGAAUAUUGCAAAUGAGGACAGAAUUUCUGGAACUCCAGAAAUUUCUCCCCAUUUCUCUCCCGAGCCCAGCCGCGACCCCCUCCCUUCGUCACCUUCGUUCUUCCUCAUCCGGCCACCGAUUGAUGUGAAACAAAGUGGGUUUUUCUAGUCUCGACCCCCUUUACGAGUUUGUAGAAGAAAUCGAAGUGAAAUACGAGCUGUAUGAGGCUCUACAAGGUCGAGAAGAGAGCCUCGUCGGAGACGAAAUCGCUCUUCCCCACUUUUUCUGGGCUCUACUUUUUCUGGCCAUAUCUUCCUCUACAGGCCUCCGAUCGACCUGAUUCCAAAAGCAAUUUUUCUCACCGUGAAGUUUUCUACAACUUUCCAGAAGACAUCGACUUGAGAUAACCAUCGUGGUGGCCGCUAGAAGACCGAGAAGCCGCACAGCCGAGCUGGAAAUCGUCUUCCUUCGCCACCUUGGUUCUCCCAGCUCCGGCCACUAUAGCUCGAGUUCUUUGAGGGCUUUUCUAGCCCAGAGGAAGUAGAAGCUAUCCCCAAGAAGGCUUGCAGUGAUUUGAUCCGGGGUGAUCGAAUUUUGAAGAUUGGGAAACUAGGGUUCUUCGGGUUUCAAAACUUGCGAGGUGAUUGACGGUCUUCCUUGGGUGAGCGAUUUCGGUGUGUAUUGUGUUGAAUUGAAGACGCAGCGGGAAUAUCGAGCGGGUAAUCCUGCAGGUCAGGAGAAUCAGGACGGUGAUCGUGCGGGUUAGAGAAUUUGUUUUAGUUUUACAGCAAUUGUAAUUGUGAGGUGAGUUAUGCUCAUUUGAGCCUUACAAUAUAAUUUGGUGAGAGUGUGCUGUAAUAAACAAAUUUGAGAUUUGGUUUAUGUAAUAUCGAGCGAUGUGAGGUGUGGUUGUUUUGAGAAAAAAAUUCAGGUUGUAUUUAUGUGAGUUGUAUUAAUUCAUGUUUCGGAUUUUGAAUUGAUUAUUCAAAAUUCGGGGCGUGACAGUUUGGUAUCAGAGCGUAAGGUACAUAUUUGGUGAUAAUCAGUACUCCCCGAGUGAUGGCCCGUCUGCAGCGGAUCCCCAUCAUAUACUCUUCGGUACUGGUAUAAUCAUUGGGUAUGUCUUAGUAUGGGGUCUAGACAGCGUGUAUGUCAGUAGGACGGUAGAGUUGUCUUCUAAGUUCGUAUUAGAAUAAGUUUAGUUUCCGCAGGUUGUAAUCUUCGAGGAAUAGAGACCUCUAGAUUUAACUCUGAUGAGUCGGUGAGAUUUGUUUUAUGGAAGUGAGGUCCUUUUGGAUGUUGAA